RNAcentral lists this ribosomal RNA (406 nucleotides) under uncultured bacterium. RNAcentral's name for it is "partial 16S ribosomal RNA". It matches the Rfam family "Bacterial small subunit ribosomal RNA", at positions 29 to 526 of the family's 1533-position model. The record is from RNAcentral.
AUUGAACGCUGGCGGCAGGCCUAACACAUGCAAGUCGAGCGAGCGGCGGACGGGUGAGUACUGUCUGGGAAACUGCCUGAUGGAGGGGGAUAACUACUGGACACGGUAGCUAAUACCGCAUACCAUCAGAUGUGCCCAGAUGGGAUUAGCUAGUAGGUGGGGUAAUGGCUCACCUAGGCGACGCUCCCUAGCUGGUCUGAGAGGAUGACCAGCCCCCCGGGAACUGAGACACGUGCCAGACUCCUGCGGAAGGCAGCAGUGGGGAAUAUUGCACAAUGGGCGGAAGCCUGAUGCAGCCAUGCCGCGUGUGUGAAGAAGGCCUUCGGGUUGUAAAGCACUUUCAGCGGGGAGGCGUUACCCGCAGAAGAAGCACCGGCUAACUCCGGGCCAGCAGCCGCGGUAAUAC